GCGAGAGUAGUAUAGUGGCAGUACAUUAGCUUCCCAAGCUAAUAGCAGGGGUUCGAUUCCCCUUUCUCGCA
Molecule: transfer RNA, 71 nt
Filed under: Candidatus Sungiibacteriota bacterium
Lineage: Bacteria; Candidatus Sungiibacteriota
Description: tRNA-Gly
Rfam family: tRNA
About the family: Transfer RNA (tRNA) molecules are approximately 80 nucleotides in length.
Source: RNAcentral